UGAACGCUAGCUACAGGCUUAACACAUGCAAGUCGGAGGGGCAGCAUGGUCUUAGCUUGCUAAGGCCGAUGGCGACCGGCGCACGGGUGAGUAACACGUAUCCAACCUGCCGUCUACUCUUGGACAGCCUUCUGAAAGGAAGAUUAAUACAAGAUGGCAUCAUGAGUCCACAUGUUCACAUGAUUAAAGGUAUUCCGGUAGACGAUGGGGAUGCGUUCCAUUAGAUAGUAGGCGGGGUAACGGCCCACCUAGUCUUCGAUGGAUAGGGGUUCUGAGAGGAAGGUCCCCCACAUUGGAACUGAGACACGGUCCAAACUCCUACGGGAGGCAGCAGUGAGGAAUAUUGGUCAAUGGGCGAGAGCCUGAACCAGCCAAGUAGCGUGAAGGAUGACUGCCCUAUGGGUUGUAAACUUCUUUUAUAAAGGAAUAAAGUCGGGUAUGUAUACCCGUUUGCAUGUACUUUAUGAAUAAGGAUCGGCUAACUCCGUG
Molecule: ribosomal RNA, 489 nt
Filed under: uncultured bacterium
Lineage: Bacteria
Description: bacterial SSU rRNA
Rfam family: Bacterial small subunit ribosomal RNA
Source: RNAcentral